RNAcentral lists this ribosomal RNA (93 nucleotides) under Burkholderia pyrrocinia. RNAcentral's name for it is "partial 16S ribosomal RNA". It matches the Rfam family "Bacterial small subunit ribosomal RNA", at positions 1 to 89 of the family's 1533-position model. RNAcentral also lists the same sequence under 1 other name. The record is from RNAcentral. Lineage: Bacteria; Pseudomonadati; Pseudomonadota; Betaproteobacteria; Burkholderiales; Burkholderiaceae.
UUAAACUGAAGAGUUUGAUCCUGGCUCAGAUUGAACGCUGGCGGCAUGCCUUACACAUGCAAGUCGAACGGCAGCACGGGUGCUUGCACCUGG